UCAGAUGAGCAUCCCCUCAAUUCUUUCAUCCAAGUCGUUUAUGAAGACCUUUGAACAACAACGGGCCAAGGAUAGAACUUUUGGGUGUGAUGAAUUUGAAUCUGCUGUCAUUUUUGUGACUGGACAACAUUUAACUUGGAGCAUGCCAGGAAGAAAAUAUACAUGCACUGAGGGAAGCAGGGAGGAAGGAGUGGGCAUGGAAAGAGGAAUAGAAGAAAGUGACUGUUGAUCCAUCCACCCCAAAACAUUGGACUAAUUUGGAGUCCAUUUCUACCCAAUUGAGUGGAUUAGCCCCAUAUCAGGUACGCUAUGAGCGCCACGGCAACCCCCACAUAGAUGCCUGUUCCAAUAGUGAUGGACAGCACAGCCAGGAAGAGGGCUCGUCGUGA
Molecule: non-coding RNA, 389 nt
Organism: Podarcis muralis (Common wall lizard)
Lineage: Eukaryota; Metazoa; Chordata; Lepidosauria; Squamata; Lacertidae
Source: RefSeq, a predicted model, not a curated record